Molecule: ribosomal RNA, 973 nt
Filed under: Stenotrophomonas maltophilia
Lineage: Bacteria; Pseudomonadati; Pseudomonadota; Gammaproteobacteria; Lysobacterales; Lysobacteraceae
Description: bacterial SSU rRNA
Rfam family: Bacterial small subunit ribosomal RNA
Source: RNAcentral
GGAAUCUACUCUGUCGUGGGGGAUAACGUAGGGAAACUUACGCUAAUACCGCAUACGACCUACGGGUGAAAGCAGGGGACCUUCGGGCCUUGCGCGAUUGAAUGAGCCGAUGUCGGAUUAGCUAGUUGGCGGGGUAAAGGCCCACCAAGGCGACGAUCCGUAGCUGGUCUGAGAGGAUGAUCAGCCACACUGGAACUGAGACACGGUCCAGACUCCUACGGGAGGCAGCAGUGGGGAAUAUUGGACAAUGGGCGCAAGCCUGAUCCAGCCAUACCGCGUGGGUGAAGAAGGCCUUCGGGUUGUAAAGCCCUUUUGUUGGGAAAGAAAUCCAGCUGGCUAAUACCCGGUUGGGAUGACGGUACCCAAAGAAUAAGCACCGGCUAACUUCGUGCCAGCAGCCGCGGUAAUACGAAGGGUGCAAGCGUUACUCGGAAUUACUGGGCGUAAAGCGUGCGUAGGUGGUCGUUUAAGUCCGUUGUGAAAGCCCUGGGCUCAACCUGGGAACUGCAGUGGAUACUGGGCGACUAGAAUGUGGUAGAGGGUAGCGGAAUUCCUGGUGUAGCAGUGAAAUGCGUAGAGAUCAGGAGGAACAUCCAUGGCGAAGGCAGCUACCUGGACCAACAUUGACACUGAGGCACGAAAGCGUGGGGAGCAAACAGGAUUAGAUACCCUGGUAGUCCACGCCCUAAACGAUGCGAACUGGAUGUUGGGUGCAAUUUGGCACGCAGUAUCGAAGCUAACGCGUUAAGUUCGCCGCCUGGGGGAGUACGGUCGCAAGACUGAAACUCAAAGGAAUUGAAGGGGCCCCGCACAAGCGGUGGAGUAUGUGGUUUAAUUUCUAUGCAACGCAAGAACCUUACUUGGCCUUGACAUGUCGGGAACUUUCCAAAGAUGGAUUGGUGCCUUCGGGAAUCGAACCCAAGGCUGAUGGCUGUGUCAGCUCUUCGCAAUGUGGGGUGAAUUCCCCCACCGA